UACGGAGGGUGCGAGCGUUGUCCGGAAUCACUGGGCGUAAAGGGCGCGUAGGCGGCGCGGGCAGUCAACGGUGAAAGCUUGGGGCUCAACCCCGAGUCGGCCGUCGAUACUCCCGUGCUUGAGCACUGUAGAGGCAGGUGGAAUUCCGGGUGUAGCGGUGGAAUGCGUAGAGAUCCGGAAGAACACCGGUGGCGAAGGCGGCCUGCUGGGCAGUAGCUGACGCUGAUGCGCGACAGCGUGGGGAGCAAACGGG
This 253-nucleotide ribosomal RNA is filed under the name uncultured bacterium. RNAcentral's name for it is "partial 16S ribosomal RNA". It matches the Rfam family "Bacterial small subunit ribosomal RNA", at positions 524 to 776 of the family's 1533-position model. The record is from RNAcentral.